RNAcentral lists this ribosomal RNA (497 nucleotides) under uncultured bacterium. RNAcentral describes it as "partial 16S ribosomal RNA". It matches the Rfam family "Bacterial small subunit ribosomal RNA", at positions 28 to 507 of the family's 1533-position model. The record is from RNAcentral.
GAUGAACGCUGGCGGCGUGCCUAAUACAUGCAAGUCGAGCGAACGGACGAGAAGCUUGCUUCUCUGAUGUUAGCGGCGGACGGGUGAGUAACACGUGGAUAACCUACCUAUAAGACUGGGAUGACUUCGGGAAACCGGAGCUAAUACCGGAUAAUAUUUUGAACCGCAUGGUUCAAAAGUGAAAGACGGUCUUGCUGUCACUUAUAGAUGGAUCCGCGCUGCAUUAGCUAGUUGGUAAGGUAACGGCUUACCAAGGCAACGAUGCAUAGCCGACCUGAGAGGGUGAUCGGCCACACUGGAGCUGAGACACGGUCCAGACUCCUACGGGAGGCAGCAGUAGGGAAUCUUCCGCAAUGGGCGAAAGCCUGACGGAGCAACGCCGCGUGAGUGAUGAAGGUCUUCGGAUCGUAAAACUCUGUUAUUAGGGAAGAACAUAUGUGUAAGUAACUGUGCACAUCUUGACGGUACCUAAUCAGAAAGCCACGGCUAACUACGUG